AGAAAAAAAAAAAAUCCAACAUCAAACCAAAGGCACGGAAGGCAGAGAGCGGCGCCGCUGACAGCUCCCCCGCCCGGCCGCCCCUCGCCCCGCAGGGCCCGGCCCGUGACUCGGCUGUUUCUGCCGGUUCCUCCUCUCCCUCCGCCCGCCGGGGGCCGGGCGCAGGAAGGGGCGGGCGGCGGCGCAGGGAGGCAGCCGACGCACAAGAUGGCCGCUGCUGCAGCGGCGGCGGAGGGGGCGGCGGCGGGGCGGUGGGAGGCGGCGGGGGGAGCCCGGAGCCGGCGGGUGCAGGAGGCGGAGGGCGCCGCGGCCGCCCCGGCGUGCCGCAGCUGAGGGGGGCCGGAGGCCGCAGCCGGGAGCCCGGCCCGUGUGGUGAGUGCGGCUUCCCUCUGCCCCUCACCGCGGCGGGGAGCGGGGCGGCGGGGAGCGGAGCCGGCCCCGGCCCCGGCCCCGGCCCCGGCCCCGGGGUGCCGCUGAGGGCGGGCGGGCCGUGCCGGCGUCCCGCGGGGUGCGGCGGAGGGGAGGGCGCGGCUCUCGGGCCCGCUUUCGCUAGGCCUCGGGCUUCGCCGGGCUCCAUUUCCGAGCGCCCCGGGAGGGAGGGAGGGAGCCGGCGAGGCGACGCGAGGGGGGAGGGGAGGCCCGCCGGUUGGGUCCGGCCGGGGGGUGUCGCCUCAGGCUGCGGCGGGGAGGGAGUGAAGGAGGGGGGUGGCGGCUUUGUGCGCGGCCCAUGUCCGCUGCCGCCCUUCCCGAGGGCCGUGCGGGACGGAGGAGGACCGGCGGCCAUCCGCGCGUUGCUCCGGCACGGCUCGCAGAGAGCGGCCCGGCGGCGAGGCCGGAGCCGCCCCCCACCCCGCAGUCGCCCUUUUGUCUGCGGCCCCGAGGGAAGCGCGGAGCCGACAGCCGGCACUUUCACUGCUUUUUCACCCCGCGUUACGUUAGGAUUGCGGCGUGAUUCUCACGGUCAGGGUUUGCGGCCGGCUGCGCGAGUUGCGGUGGCUGGGAG
This 1003-nucleotide long non-coding RNA is filed under the name Phasianus colchicus (ring-necked pheasant). RNAcentral describes it as "lncRNA (ENSPCLG00000020241.1)". Lineage: Eukaryota; Metazoa; Chordata; Aves; Galliformes; Phasianidae. The record is from RNAcentral.